Molecule: long non-coding RNA, 279 nt
Filed under: Prunus persica (peach)
Lineage: Eukaryota; Viridiplantae; Streptophyta; Magnoliopsida; Rosales; Rosaceae
Description: long non-coding RNA (PPER_LNC002087)
Source: RNAcentral
UCGGCAGCAUACAAAAUAAAAUAUUCAAAAGCAUAAAACAGCUUAUAACUGAAAUUGAACUGCUUAAAUUCAUUUAUAAAAAUAAAGAGUCCACUCACUGGUAGUCCGAGCUCACUGGACCUCUUAAAGAUCCCUCCUGCGGGUCAACUGGUGCCCGGGUGCCUGAUUCAAUUAUUCUAUUAAUACAAUAUAGUAUUAAUUUAAAAACCCUGACCCCCGGCUCCUAAAAGUAUGUGCGUCAAAUUAAAGUUAUCCCUAUGCCCAUAAAAGCUUUCCUUC